This 274-nucleotide ribosomal RNA is filed under the name uncultured bacterium. RNAcentral's name for it is "partial 16S ribosomal RNA". It matches the Rfam family "Bacterial small subunit ribosomal RNA", at positions 523 to 796 of the family's 1533-position model. The record is from RNAcentral.
AUACGAAAGGUGCAAGCGUUGUUCGGAUUUACUGGGCGUAAAGAGAGUGUAGGUGGUUUAUUAAGUCGGAUGUGAAAUCCCGGGGCUCAACCUCGGAACUGCAUUCGAUACUGAUAGGCUAGAGUUUGCGAGGGGUAAGCGGAAUUCCGUGUGUAGCAGUGAAAUGCGUAGAUAUACGGAGGAACACCUGAGGCGAAGGCGGCUUACUGGACCAAUACUGACACUGAGACUCGAAAGCGUGGGUAGCAAACAGAAUUAGAAACCCUAGUAGUCC